Molecule: ribosomal RNA, 502 nt
Filed under: uncultured bacterium
Lineage: Bacteria
Description: bacterial SSU rRNA
Rfam family: Bacterial small subunit ribosomal RNA
Source: RNAcentral
GACGAACGCUGGCGGCAUGCCUAAUACAUGCAAGUCGAACGCUGAAGCACUCUGCUUGCAGAGUGCGGAUGAGUGGCGAACGGGUGAGUAACACGUGGGAAAUCUGCCUAGGAGUGGGGGAUAACAUUCGGAAACGGAUGCUAAUACCGCAUAUCUUUUUGAACCGCAUGGUUCUUAAACGAAAGACGGCUUCGGCUGUCGCUCUUAGAUGAUCCCGCGGCGUAUUAGUUAGUUGGUGGGGUAAAGGCCUACCAAGACCAUGAUACGUAGCCGACCUGAGAGGGUGAUCGGCCACACUGGGACUGAGACACGGCCCAGACUCCUACGGGAGGCAGCAGUAGGGAAUCUUCCACAAUGGGUGAAAACCUGAUGGAGCAAUGCCGCGUGAAUGAAGAAGGUCUUCGGAUCGUAAAGUUCUGUUAUUAGUGAAGAACAAAUCGAGGAGUAACUGUCUCGAUUUUGACGGUAACUAACCAGAAAGUCACGGCUAACUACGUGCCAG